This 65-nucleotide transfer RNA is filed under the name Clovia sp. EMHAU-2015-Zz052918. RNAcentral's name for it is "tRNA-Trp". The record is from RNAcentral. Lineage: Eukaryota; Metazoa; Arthropoda; Insecta; Hemiptera; Aphrophoridae.
AAAGUUUUAAGUUAAUUAAACUAUUAACCUUCAAAGUUAAAAAUAUAAUUUUAUUAUAAGCUUUA